GACGAACGCUGGCGGCGUGCUUAACACAUGCAAGUCGAACGCUCAAGCUUUGUGCUUGCUCUGUGUGGAUGAGUGGCUAACGUGUGAGUAAUACGUUAGUAACCUGCUCUUGACUCUGGGAUAAGCCUGGGAAACUGGGUCUCAUACUGUAUACGACAUUUCACCUCAUUGUGGUGUGUGGAAAGGUUUUUACUGGUUUUGGAUGGGCUCACGGCCUAUCAUCUUGUUGGUGGGGUAAUGGCUCACCAAGGCGACGACGGGUAGCCGGCCUGAGAGGGUGACCGGCCACACUGGGACUGAGACACGGGCCAGAGUGAUACGGGAGGCAGCAGUGGGAAAUAUUGCAAGAUGGGCGGAAGCCUGAUGCAGCGACGCCGCGUGAGGGAUGACGGCCUUAGGGGUGUAAACGGCUUUCAGCACGGAAGAAGAGAAAGUGACGGUACGUUAAGAAGAAGCGACGGCUAACUACGUG
This 472-nucleotide ribosomal RNA is filed under the name uncultured bacterium. Its description in RNAcentral is "partial 16S ribosomal RNA". It matches the Rfam family "Bacterial small subunit ribosomal RNA", at positions 28 to 507 of the family's 1533-position model. The record is from RNAcentral.